RNAcentral lists this long non-coding RNA (1419 nucleotides) under Mus musculus (house mouse). RNAcentral describes it as "long non-coding RNA chr2:165613017-165614436". Lineage: Eukaryota; Metazoa; Chordata; Mammalia; Rodentia; Muridae. The record is from RNAcentral.
GCACAGGGUGUGACACAGUGGGCCAGUCACUGGAGGAAGGAGCAGGUGCCUCUAAGUGUCCAGUUCCAAACCAACUGGACAUGCUGCAGUCUCCUUCAUCCUCACAGCAAGACAUUGUAUUGUUCCACUCCAGGAAAUAUGUGACAGUCAUCAGAAAAGCUUAAACAGUAUGACUAGGAUAGCUGUCGGGACAGGCCUGCUGGUGCAGCAGCCACAUUGCCAUCUGCCUUGCUGCCUAGCUUCCUGGGUUCUCCCAGGCCCAUUCCAACUCUCCGUUUUGAGAAACUGAAGUCAGAGAAACUACAAACGACCCCACAUGUCACUGAGGCUCCACAACUCCUAGCCACAGAGAGAGCUGCCCAGCAAUCAAGUCCACGCAUAUGUGGGGUUACCAAGUCAGAUCCAUCUUAGACCUCAUAGGGAAUAUAUUCCUAUAAAACUGGCAGGGUACAAUGUGAAGAUGAUUGGCAGUGUGGAAAUCCAGACCUUCUACUCAAUGGCCUCAUCUGCCUGAGCCUCAGUGUUCCCAUCUGUGGAGUGGGGCCAUCCUCUUAAAUGAGGUCAUAAGCACAUGGUGCUUAGUGCUCACUGUGCAAGACCCAUAGUUUUUAAUACUGCGCAAAAGAAGCUAUUACCGGUGUUGUUCAAGAUGGGGACUGGGAAGGAGGCUUGAAUGUUAGCCAAAGGCUGACUGAUAUUCAGGGCAGGGGUGGGACAAGGGGCUUGGGGCACAUUGUACUGGAGAGCUCUGGGACUUGGCCUUGUCAGUUCUCUGUCCCUUGUCCUGGAGGAAGGAGGCCCUGUCUGGGUGUGUGCCCCUCCCCAGGAGACCUGCCUUGGCCCUUGCAGCACCCCAGCUCCCAGAGGAGCCAGCAGCAGCCGGGCUGCAGCCCUGCCUUGCUCUGUCUGUGUCUGCGGAAGGCAGAACGGCGUGUACUCACACAGCAAGCAAAUCCCCAGAUGCGGCCUUUCCGGCUGCCACGUUUUCCCUCAUGAAAUUCCUAACUUGGUGUGUUGUGUUUUUCUAAAAACACACCCACGGCCUCCAAAAACCUCAGCCGGGGAAGGGGAAACAUUUCUGGUUGAAUUGCCGGUUUUUGAAAUGGUGUCAGAUUAUGCCCCCUCUGGUGGCCUGGAUUCACCAUUCUUUCUAUCAACAGCCUUUCCGAGGGGCUGGGCUGGUAGAUCUCAUCUAGGCCAGCUCCCCCAAACAGAUAAGGAAACUGAGGCUGAAGGAGGCCGAGGAUUCCUCCCAGACCACAUGCAGGUCUCCAGACCCCAAGUCUGACUUCUUCUUUAACCCCAGGUCACGAGGAUGAGCUGAGGCCGCCUUUGCCCCACAGACAUGCUUGCCUUGGCCUGACGGUGUUUUGAUCUGUGCAAGUUGCCAGCAUUUAAAACUCAGGAGAUUCCAUAUUU